Molecule: transfer RNA, 69 nt
Filed under: Nanorana pleskei (Tibetan frog)
Lineage: Eukaryota; Metazoa; Chordata; Amphibia; Anura; Dicroglossidae
Description: tRNA-Pro
Rfam family: tRNA
About the family: Transfer RNA (tRNA) molecules are approximately 80 nucleotides in length. Their secondary structure includes four short double-helical elements and three loops (D, anti-codon, and T loops). Further hydrogen bonds mediate the characteristic L-shaped molecular structure. tRNAs have two regions of fundamental functional importance: the anti-codon, which is responsible for specific mRNA codon recognition, and the 3' end, to which the tRNAs corresponding amino acid is attached (by aminoacyl-tRNA synthetases). tRNAs cope with the degeneracy of the genetic code in two manners: having more than one tRNA (with a specific anti-codon) for a particular amino acid; and 'wobble' base-pairing, i.e. permitting non-standard base-pairing at the 3rd anti-codon position.
Source: RNAcentral
CAGAACAUAAUUUAAUAAGAAUGUUGGCUUUGGGGGCCAGUAGUAGAGGUUUAACUCCUUUUGUUCUGA